GGCACCAUGGUCUUGAGAGAAUCAUUCUUCUUAGUCAACUUCUCGGUCUAAUCAUCUAUGGCAGCAUUGAGGGUCUCUCUCAUUGCAUCUUGAUUGGAACUGAGAGCCUUCAUUACGUAGUCCCUAAGUUGCUCUCUCAUCGAGUUCAACUCAUCGGUGCGCCCCUCAAUUACCUCGAGCGUUUCCUUCACACCACCCAUGGAUUCCUCGAGAUUAGUCACCCGCCCUUCCAAAUUCGACAACAUAUCCUUCGAUUUGCUACUUUUCGAGUCUUCCCAUGUGAUAGAGUAUUGCGCGUGGACCAAGAUCGAGUUACCAAGUCACGGGAAAAGUCUUACGAAAACUAUCGACACUUAGCUCUGAAACGAAAACAGAAAACAGAAAAUUAAACUUAAAAGACCAAGAAAACCAAAUUGAAAUAGAAUGAUUCUUGGGCGGCAAGAAAUGAUGAAUAAAGAACGUUUCUUGAUGCCAAAGAAUGUUGCAAAACAGAUCCUUGAAACUUGGAAUGGUUGGAAACGCAACAAGAACAAUUAAACCAAGUUAAUCAACAAUUCGGCACAAACAAAAAUAAUUAAAAAAGAACAAACAACAAAAAAGAUGGAUAAAAUCCUAAGAAGCCUUAAAAUCAAGAAAGAUUUCACAACUCCCUUCAAACGGCUCUAAUCUUCCCUCCAAUGUAAAAACAAGGCAAGAAGAAGGUUGAAGAUGCUCCCACAAUCAAAAAGAUUGUUAAAACUACUUCUAAAGAAAACUCAAAAGAGAAUUCUUGGAGAAACUCAAAGAGAGUUUUCACUCCACAAAAAAAAAAAUUGAAUUCAAUAUAUCAUCUAUAAGGGUGGCCGGCCAAGCCAUAUAUAUAGGCCUCCUAACUACUUUCCUAUCCCUACUAGGAAAACUAAAAAAACUCUAAUUUUUGCCUUUCAAGGGAAUUUUGUCCAAGGCCUUUAAAUGGGCCCCUUGGACUGAAUUCUUACAUAGAAAUUUAUUCAUAAAGUCUAAAAAUUAAAACUAAGUAUUUAAAGAAUUAAAAUUUUACAAAUCGGGCCACUUUGACAAUUUGGCCUGAUUUUCAACUAAGUCUAAUUUAAACUUCUUGGUUGGGCUUGGAACAUCUUAUUGGGUCGUAUCUUCAAUAACUUGGGCUUGUAAUUCGUUCUCUCCCGAAAUUGGUUCGUUGAUGCUCGUAACUGAGAUCCAAUGCUCCUUAGCUGCAAGAUUCAAUUUCUUGGACCAAGAUUUCCAAGAUUUGAAAUCUUGAUUUUCUUGAUUUUUGAAAUCGCUCAAAACAGCAAAAUUGGACCAAGAUUCGGUUUCUUGAUUUUCUUGAAAACAAGAAAGUGAAUCUUGAUUUUCUUUUUCCUUUGUAUACACAUCUAAGGCCUUGCUAAUGAAGUCUUGAACAGUUCCAUUUAGUUUCAUACGCAUUUGCCUGGCCUUUGACCUCGUUAUUGGGCCUUGUGGUAAUUUGAGCCCAUCACGUUCUUGAGCUUGAGUUGGGCCUUUAUGACUCGUAUCACCAUGGGUCUCCAUCGAGACAUUUUGUUCAUCUACUUCUUUCGUCAUUUUAACCGGUGGCUUUUUACAUUAGCUCAGUUACCAAUUGUCACAGGGCUAGAACUUAAGUUUGGCAAAUCACGCGACCUUAGGCAAUGUCUUUGUUUCAAAUUUGCCUAAGUCAGCCUUACUCUCAAAAAUAAGAAAUUCAAAAAGAAAAAGGCACUAAAAUAAAGCAAAAGCAAACUCACAAAUGAAGAAGCAAAAAGUGAACAAAAAAGCCAUAAGAAAACUAAGAAAACCAAGUGUUUGAGUAAAUACUCUCAAAAUAUAUUCAAUAACUUUUUUUUGAUCAAGUAUAUUCAAUAACUUUGAAUGGAAUACAAUGGGAUGAUUACAAAUGAGGGGGAAACCCUCUAUUUAUAGUUGAGCUCCCCCAUAUCCAAUGGUGCAGAUUGAAUUACAUCAAUGAUUGAGAUUAGUGUCUGUCUACAAGAUGAAAGUCCUAAGAGAUUUAAACUCUAUACAUCUUUAUCCCUUAGGAUUUACAAUAAUUGCCUUGGUAACUCUAGUUUUACUAGAGUGUUUCACUGGCCAGUUCAAGUGGAUCAAAUGAGCCCCAUUUAAUCAAUUGACCUCCAUGAGAAGCUCUGUGUGCAUUCGUCACGGGCUUUGAUCCGCGGCCCGUGACAUAAGAAUAAACUCAUAAUUAAUUAAAUAAUGAUUUCUAAUCUCGUGGUGAUUAAUAUUAAGUUUCAAUCAUAUUUAUUGUUGACACAUUUAUAAAAUUUUAUAAAAAAAUUUUAAUUAGUGUAUAAUUUUUUAUAAGAAAAAAAGAGAAGGGUUCAAAUUAACAAAAGUUGUAAAGGUUGAUUGGCUAAAUUAGUGAUUGUACCUAAUUUUUUAACAAAGUUAAUGAAAAAAAUUAAUGAAGGGACUGGAAAUGAGCAAAUAAAAAAAAUAGAGAGACUAAUUUUGAGCAAAUAAAAGUAGAGGGAUUAAAUCCGCACAAAUUGAUAAGUACAUAGACUAUCAUCAAAAUUUAACCUAUAGUCUAAUAUGGGUUCAAAAUUUAAUUAAGUGAUAAUAAUUGUAACACUAAUAAUAAAAAGUUAUUAAUAAAUUUAAUUUAUAUUUUAUAUAAAAAAUUUAAAAAUAAUUAUAAUUAUUUUAUUUUAUAUUAAUAUUUUUAUCAUAUUUAUUUAAAAGAAACAUGAGAGUAAAAAGGUACCUACACGAUCAAAUUAAUUGUUGUUAUUUCUUGUAAUAAUUAAUGGUAUGCGUAAUACCUAUAUAUAAUUUAUCUAAGACGAUUUUAUUAUUUUUAAUUUAUUUAAUUAUAUUCAAUGAAUUAAUAAUUAAUUAAUAUUACCUUUGUUAUUAUUCCAAUAAUAUAUUAAUAAAUUAUUAUUAUAUCAAUUUAAUAAUAUAAUAAAUGAUAAAAAAUAUUAUCAUUAAUUCAAACUUUCUUCUCAACUCAUCUUUUUACGUAAGUUAUAAGGUUAAUAUUAAUUGGUAAUUAGGAUUUUGGGUUUAAAGUAAUAUUUUUUAAUCAAAAUCAAAUCAAAUCAAAUCAUUGCAAAACCUAAGGGAGAAAGAAUCACAUAAAAUUCAUACAUAAUAUACACAUAAUUACAAUAAAAGCUAAACAAGAAACGAAUACGAUACUCUUACCCAAUAAUGCAAAACCUUCAUUGGCUUCUGGUUCCCUAGAAUUUGUUUAGUGUUUAUGAAUGUAUGAUGUUAUUCAAGAAAUCAUUAAAAAAAAGGAGUGAAGUGACAGUUAUAAUCUGUGCUUAGAGAUCAAAAUGUAUUGGUCCCUUUGCCUUGUUGGGUGGUGGGACCAGGCUUCAAGUAUCAACACUUUCAACUAAUUGAUACGAGCUCAAUUGUUGUUGCUUCGAGUCGUAUUAGUUUGUCCGAUCAUGAAUUUGGGGUAAAACUUGGUUCGUUUCAAGAGGGAUGGAAAAAAUAGAAGGUAGGCUUCAAAUAAGGUUUAAAAGGAAGCUGGUUAAACAAAGGAAUGGAUAAUUUGGCCAAACCCAGAGAAUGAACCAAAAAUAGAGUGAUUGUUGGCCUGAGUCUCAAAGUAGCUCUUUGGUGAAUUUCGAUUUAGGAAAUCAACAAAAAACCUUGACUCGUUAUCAAAUGUGAUUGGAACUAAAGGUAUAUGAACGCCACACUAGAAGUGAUAAGUUCGGAUUAACAAAGGAAAGAAUGACGCCACAAGACAACUUGAUAAGUCAAUUCAGUCCCGAAAAGAACAAGGAGAAUUGGAAAUCUCACAAGUUUCAAUUGAUUCAUACAAUUGGUAAAAAGUCCCUACAACAAGAAAUUAGCUAAGUAUUUAUAGCUAGAAAUCUAUGCUAGCCGAAUAGACACAUGGGCAACUAAAUGGACAAAUGUUUUCAGCUUUAAUGAGCUGAAACUUCUUUGAAAGUUCCUAGCAGCUUCCUUGAAGUUUCCUUGAGCAUGGAGGACGUCAAUAGUUAGCUUCUAGAUGCCUUGAUUCAGCUGAAAAUUAAUGAAGUGAUUGGGAGCUGAAUUGACUUAAUUAGGUUCGGCCCAAGGGUAUGAACCAUCUUUAAUAGGCUGCCUUGAAGAGCUG
This 4105-nucleotide long non-coding RNA is filed under the name Gossypium barbadense (sea-island cotton). RNAcentral's name for it is "long non-coding RNA (GBAR_LNC018036)". The record is from RNAcentral. Lineage: Eukaryota; Viridiplantae; Streptophyta; Magnoliopsida; Malvales; Malvaceae.